AUUAGAGUUAAGGUUUCUUGUGGAUCUUUGAGGUUAAAGCAGAUUGAAAAUGGUGCUACACCAAAAUGUGGCAUUACCUUGUUUAACUGGUUUGAUUUAAAUUGAUUGAUUUAAGGAACGACAGACAUCGCGAUCGGCUUAGGAUGAGAAGAAUGAAAUGCUAUUGUGCCUAAAUCAAAGUUCAUAAUGUUAUACUCACCAUUUAGAUAUAAAGUUUUAAUCUGAGAAGUUCCAUCUUAUAGUAAGGUAGUAUAGUAGGUGGAGUUGCAAGUAUACCUUAGAAUAAUUUCAACUUGCAACCAAACUAUAAGAG
RNAcentral lists this unclassified non-coding RNA (313 nucleotides) under Hevea brasiliensis (rubber tree). Lineage: Eukaryota; Viridiplantae; Streptophyta; Magnoliopsida; Malpighiales; Euphorbiaceae. The record is from RNAcentral.